RNAcentral lists this ribosomal RNA (329 nucleotides) under uncultured eukaryote. RNAcentral's name for it is "partial 18S ribosomal RNA". It matches the Rfam family "Eukaryotic small subunit ribosomal RNA", at positions 1470 to 1796 of the family's 1831-position model. The record is from RNAcentral.
CCCUUAGAUGUCCUGGGCCGCACGCGCGCUACACUGAGUGUCUGAGAUACGAGUCUGCCUGGUCCGGCAAGGUCUAGGUAAUCGCUAAAAGACACAUCUUGCUUGGGAUAGAUUAUUGCAAAUAUUAAUCUUGAACGAGGAAUUCCUAGUAAGCGCAAGUCAACAGCUUGCGUUGAUUACGUCCCUGCCCUUUGUACACACCGCCCGUCGCUACUACUGAUUGGAUGUUUAAGCGAGGUUCUCGAACUGCUAGCGACUUAGCUUCGGUGAGGUCGCAGUGUGGGAAGUGAACCUAGCUUUGGUGUCUAGAGGAAGUAAAAGUCGUAACA